This is a long non-coding RNA of Cavia porcellus (domestic guinea pig), 493 nucleotides long. RefSeq lists it as uncharacterized. The record is from RefSeq and is a predicted model, not a curated record. Lineage: Eukaryota; Metazoa; Chordata; Mammalia; Rodentia; Caviidae. The transcript has 3 exons.
UGCAUGUGGUCCGCACACACUGAGGAUGACCCGCAUACAGGGGACACUGCUCUGGAUGCCCGCACUUGACCACAAGGAACUGAAGAUACUGAACAGUGUUUGUGGAUCGGAGUGGACCGGGGCUGCAGGGCACAGGCAGCGAAUCCCGCAGAGUGGCGAUGCCGGAAUUUCUUCCUCCCCAUCAGUGCUGUGCCAGCAGCAUUAGGAGCAUUUCACUCACAAGAAAACAACUCAGGAGCAGCCGUGAUGAAGGACCCUCAUGCACACGUCUGGACUAAAUCAUUUCCAGUCCUGCUGCCCAUUGCGGCCACCAUCUCCACGGAGCAGAGGAGAGUGCAGGAACACAGUGCAGAGAAGGCAGGAAAGUGCCAACCUGCCUGCUCCUCCCAGGACAGCAGCCCUAAUCUGUGUCACCCAAAGCCCUGCCUUCAGCUCAGCAGUGGCUGACACCUGCUUAACGUGUUGCCUUCUGCUAAUUCACGGCUUCUAAUUA